This is a non-coding RNA of Desmophyllum pertusum, 73 nucleotides long. The record is from the annotation of a GenBank genome assembly. NCBI's taxonomy places the organism in Eukaryota, Metazoa, Cnidaria, Anthozoa, Scleractinia, Caryophylliidae.
UUUUAUGUACCUCAGUGGUUAGAGCGUCUGACCGGUGUGCAGAAGGUCACUGGCUCGACUCCUGUUGGGAGAA